RNAcentral lists this long non-coding RNA (609 nucleotides) under Eucalyptus grandis. Its description in RNAcentral is "long non-coding RNA (EGRA_LNC006845)". Lineage: Eukaryota; Viridiplantae; Streptophyta; Magnoliopsida; Myrtales; Myrtaceae. The record is from RNAcentral.
AUUUUAAACAAGUUCAGAUUAUUUUGCUAAGAAACAAAUGACUUAUAUUAACUAUAAAUAGAUGCUUGCUUACACGAAAGGAGGAAAAUCAACUAUCAUUCUACUCUUACAAAAAGAAAACAUUUAGACUAUGCAUCUUCCAAGUUUUAUAACUAACUAAUCGACAUAUUACUGCUAAACACAGAAGCCAGAAAAGGUGAACACAUGACAGUAACUCGAUCGGAAACUUGCAACCUCCCGAAUGUGGUCUAAAAGUUCCUGCCAUUUAGACUAUGCAUCUUCCAAGUUUUAUAACUAACUAAUCAACAUAUUAUUGCCAAACACAGAAGCCAGAAAAGGUGAAUACACGACAAUAACUAUCAUUCUACUCUUACAAAAAGAAAACAUUUAGACUAUGCAUCUUCCAAGUUUUAUUACUAACUAAUCGACAUAUUACUGCUAAACACAGAAGCCAGAAAAGGUGAACACACGACAGUAACUCGAUCGGAAACUUGCAACCUCCCGAAUGCGGUCUAAAAGUUCCUGCCAUCGAGAUCACGGAGUUGUUCUAAGGUGACUCCAAAGAACGGCAAAACUGGUGGUGCUGGAACUCGAAGCUCUCGUGAGACA